AAGGCGCGCUACCCGGAUCAGCAGGAGAAGUUCUUCGAGCAAGCCGCUCAGGGACUCGGCAGGCGCGAGGCCAUGUACUCCUUCCUCGCGCUCGCGGGCCCGGCCGCGUGCCUCGUCUUCGGCGCCAAGGGCUCCAAGGACGCCAAGCUCCCCAUCACCGUCGGUCCCCAGAAGGAGCCCCAGCUCGGUCCCCGCGAUCGCCUCUAAAUUGGUCUCUUCAAUUUUUUUGGCGAGACGGACAAGGGGAAAACACCAAUACGCAUGGUUGGAACUGAAC
Molecule: long non-coding RNA, 277 nt
Filed under: Micromonas commoda
Lineage: Eukaryota; Viridiplantae; Chlorophyta; Mamiellophyceae; Mamiellales; Mamiellaceae
Description: long non-coding RNA (MCOM_LNC000240)
Source: RNAcentral